Molecule: ribosomal RNA, 465 nt
Filed under: uncultured bacterium
Lineage: Bacteria
Description: bacterial SSU rRNA
Rfam family: Bacterial small subunit ribosomal RNA
Source: RNAcentral
CCUACGGGGGGCACCAGUGGGGAAUAUUGCACAAUGGGCGCAAGCCUGAUGCAGCCAUGCCGCGUGUGUGAAGAAGGCCUUCGGGUUGUAAAGCACUUUCAGCGAGGAGGAAGGUGGUGAACUUAAUACGUUCAUCAAUUGACGUUACUCGCAGAAGAAGCACCGGCUAACUCCGUGCCAGCAGCCGCGGUAAUACGGAGGGUGCAAGCGUUAAGCGGAAUUACUGGGCGUAAAGCGCACGCAGGCGGUUUGUUAAGUCAGAUGUGAAAUCCCCGGGCUCAACCUGGGAACUGCAUUUGAAACUGACAAGCUAGAGUCUCGUAGAGGGGGGUAGAAUUCCAGGCGUAGCGGUGAAAUGCGUAGAGAUCUGGAGGAAUACCGGUUGCGAAGGCGGCCCCCUGGACGAAGACUGACGCUCAGGUGCGAAAGCGUGGGGAGCAAACAGGAUUAGAUACCCUCGUAGUC